This 230-nucleotide long non-coding RNA is filed under the name Nicotiana benthamiana. RNAcentral's name for it is "long non-coding RNA (NBEN_LNC010277)". The record is from RNAcentral. Lineage: Eukaryota; Viridiplantae; Streptophyta; Magnoliopsida; Solanales; Solanaceae.
AGAACCGAUGAUUUAAUAUUCCGUGUAUAAGCUAAACUCUAUAUACUAAAUUAUCUACUAUAUAAGCAAAUGACAUAGACUAUUAUAUGAUCUAUUUAAAAUUUUAUUAAAACUGAAUAAAUAAUUAUUUCAUAAUAAAUACUAUAGCUAAACCAAACCCAUGAUUAAUAAUAUAUAUCCUAACAACAUACCACUGCCGGAUAGGCUGACAUUUAUAUAUUUGGGAUCUU